Long non-coding RNA from Ficedula albicollis (Collared flycatcher), 2826 nucleotides. RefSeq lists it as uncharacterized. NCBI's taxonomy places the organism in Eukaryota, Metazoa, Chordata, Aves, Passeriformes, Muscicapidae. The transcript has 4 exons. The record is from RefSeq and is a predicted model, not a curated record.
GCCCCUCGCCCCACAGCGUCCUCCAGCAGUCUCUUCGCUCUUCAAAUAAAGCCCCCAAACCCCUCCAGCUCCCGACCGAAGAUGUGUAAAAUGGCAAUGUCCACCUAAUGUGAAGGUGAGCCUGGAGCCAAGGACAGGCAAAGCCUUAACAGCAGGAAGUGAGAACACCUUUAUUCCAGCCUGUGUCAGACCUCUGGGAAAGUGGCCCCUGUCAUUACUUGCUUUCAAGUUUCCUGCUGCCAGUCUACAUAAAGCCUCUCUAGUCUUGAGCUGGGCUUGUUGCUUUUCCCUGUGCAAACUUCUGGAGCACCAGCUGUUGCCACCAUUUUCUGACUAUAUUUGAUUGAUUCCAGCAAGUAUCUCUGGACUUAUCCUCAAGCAGUUUCACUGUAUUAGAAUUUCAGUGGAAGGUAAAACGCCCCAAACAAGGCAGUUUGUUGCUGUCUUGCAUCAGGCAAUGUCAGGACUGUGCUUCCCAGCACAUGAGACAGAACUGUGGGAGUGCCCUGGCUCGAGGCGAACUCUCAUGUCAGCCUGGGGAGGGUGGCAUGUUUGCCAGCUUAUGUAAAGCAUUGUGAUCAGAGCUUUCAGUCCAAAUAUUCCAGCCUUUCUACAGAUUCAGUUGCUGAUGCUAUUUUAGGGGACCUGAUGUCUCUGGGGGAUGACUCAUUGAAGUUCAUUUGUAGCUGGCCAGCAUUAAUCCAGACUAACAGAGUCGUUUUCAAAUGUUUCUUUGCAUAAGAAAAUUGCUUAAGCGUGUGUUUAACUGUGGAGCUUGGCUGAAAGAACCUGGUUAACUCUGUCCUGUGGCACACACGGAGCACCAGCAGCCUGAAAGCUGCUGAUGCUCUUUAGUAGCCCAUCAAUAGACCAGCUCAUGGGCUCUGAGUGUAUCUGCAGGGUGAUAGAACCACCUGGAGACCUUUUCCAAGGAACUUCAGCAAGGAACACACACGGAGUGAACCUAGCUCAGGUUCUUCCUCUGAUGAGAAGCGUCUGAGCCAGGGAACGGAGAAAGCCGUUCAUGAGCACCUUCACAGGGCAUGAGUUUUCUAUUUGCUUUGCUCUUCGAGCCAGCAGUCUAGGAAAAUUGCUCCUGAAUGAAGCAACUUCCAGCUCAAGGGACCUGCUGGUGGUGUGGCUGGAAGAGGGCUCUGGAAAACACAGAUCAUCUCCUGGAAAUAACUAAAAGAUCUCUAACUUGAAUUUUGGCAUGUCAGAGCCUUUCUGGGCAAAACUACUGUCUCCAUUUGCUUGUUUACCUUCACUGUAAUCCUUGGUAAAAUAAUGAUGGGAUUUGGACUGCAAGCACAAGGGUUGCAGGGUUGAAGUGUCCUUACUUGUGGUAGUGAUCUGGAGGGAGUGUGGUCAGCAUGUGCCAGGUCUUUCAGGUGUGUGUGCACAUCUUUGUAUUUCAGGGAUGAUGUUGCUCAUCAUCAAGCAGAGGGGUGUUCACGUUUAAACACUCAGCAGGAGCUCCCAGAGGCAUUUGGUAGAGCUUUAGCAUGUGCACAAAGAAGACAUCUAGGGUAUUUUCACCAGCUCUAACAACUCAGCCCAUAAGGAACCUUGAUGCUUUGGGGGGGCCGAAGCAGGCUGGUGUAUGGCAGGAUGCUUUUGGAGCCACAAGGACACAUUCCAGUGCUCUUCAAAGCACAGGAUAACUCAAUUCCAUAUCCCUACCUUCCCAGCUAGACCACCACUCAUCAAUGCUGCCAUCGAAUGGUUUAGCAGGUGCAUGUGCUGGAUUAAUUUCUCCACAAAGAUGGGGUUUAACAGAAGGGACCUCUUCAGCUGGGAGAGCACGUGUGAGGGAAUUGAGGCCUGGGAGACUUGGAGUGAGCAGGCAGCAGUGAGAAGUAUUUAAACUUAUGAGAGUGGAGUUUAAGGCAAAAAGCUCGAAGUGAGAUGUGUUAAUCAGUGUGGAGGAUUUGGGGUCCUGACCCAAGCUCAGCCUGGUGGUGUUUCCACUGUUGAUGUUAUCACAGAGCCUCUUCCCUUGUGGGUUAUCUCCAGCUCGCACAGCUUUGGGGUGGUGAUCCAAGGGACUGUUCAGCCCAUGAUUAUGGUUGAGGUUGUUAAGGAAUGUGCAGACACCCAAAAUCAAACCCUAGGCAUUGAGAAAUCUUCUGGAUUUCCUUUCUCCCAGCGUGGGAGCUCUGUGUGUCUCUGGUGAUGGAGAAGAAAGGCUUUUUCCAGAGAUCCUGCCUGCCUCAAGGAAUGUGGGAGCAGGAAAGAGUCUGGGUGGGAUGGGAGGUUCAUCCCGAAUCUGCAGGCGGUUUGUGGUGUGGGGCAGCAGCACUUUCACAGCAUUUUGGUAUCACGAAUCAGGGCUUGUCACGAGGAGAUGCUGCAAGUUCUUGCGGAGGCUGAGUACAUGUGGCUGCUGUCCCUGGCUGCUCCCAGUCACGGCUGUGGGGCUGACUUGGAAUCAAUCAGAGCCUGUGGAUGGGCCAUGACAAACUCCCUGUGCCCACAGGCGAUGCUCCCAUAAAUCCUGUAAGCAUGUGCUUAACUUUGGAGAGCAAGGUGAUUGCAAGGCAAUAUUUUAUUCUUGUCAGCUUCAGUGUUAACAAUUACGAGAAUCACUUGGGUAAUUAAACUCUUGCAAGAAUAAAGUGAAAAAGCACCAGGUGUCUAUGGAGAUCUAAAUCAUUUUUCAGAGUGGGCAGAAGAGCAGUUUUUGGCUUUCCUCGGUAGCUGGAGUCCUGAAAUCCACAGAGACAGCACAGAUCCCCUCCAAAUGAGCUAAAGGCAGCAGACCUGCUUUUUUCAGGUACCUUUUGCCAACCACCUACAAGAAGCUGGUGGGUGACCAGGCCUUUG